GACGAACGCUGGCGGCGUGCUUAACACAUGCAAGUCGAACGAAGAGCGAUGGAAGCUUGCUUCUAUCAAUCUUAGUGGCGAACGGGUGAGUAACGCGUAAUCAACCUGCCCUUCAGAGGGGGACAACAGUUGGAAACGACUGCUAAUACCGCAUACGAUCUAACCUUGGCAUCGAGGAUAGAUGAAAGGUGGCCUCUACAUGUAAGCUAUCACUGAAGGAGGGGAUUGCGUCUGAUUAGCUAGUUGGAGGGGUAACGGCCCACCAAGGCGAUGAUCAGUAGCCGGUCUGAGAGGAUGAACGGCCACAUUGGGACUGAGACACGGCCCAGACUCCUACGGGAGGCAGCAGUGGGGAAUCUUCCGCAAUGGACGAAAGUCUGACGGAGCAACGCCGCGUGAGUGAUGACGGCCUUCGGGUUGUAAAGCUCUGUUAAUCGGGACGAAAGGCCUUCUUGCGAAUAGUUAGAAGGAUUGACGGUACCGGAAUAGAAAGCCACGGCUAACUACGUG
This 510-nucleotide ribosomal RNA is filed under the name uncultured bacterium. RNAcentral describes it as "partial 16S ribosomal RNA". It matches the Rfam family "Bacterial small subunit ribosomal RNA", at positions 28 to 507 of the family's 1533-position model. The record is from RNAcentral.